GAAUUGCGAUAUGUAAUGUGAAUUGCAGAAUUCAGUGAAUCAUCGAAUCUUUGAACGCAUAUUGCACCCUCUGGUAUUCCAGAGGGUAUGCCUGUUUGAGUGUCAUUAAUCUCUCAACUCUGAGUAAAUGGUUACAACUGUCUACUCUAAAGUUGGAUUAUGAAGAUUGCUGGCUUUAUUAGCCAGCUUCUUUAAAAUGCAUUAGCAAUUCUUUGUAGAGUUGGUUUCAGCUUGGUAAAUAUUUAUCUACGCUGCUGCCCUCUGUUGGAAUGCUUUCAAAUUGUCCAAUUGGGGACUGUCUUUGAUAGACAAUUAUUAAACUCUUGACCUCAAAUCAGGUAGGACUACCCGCUGAACUUAA
RNAcentral lists this unclassified non-coding RNA (361 nucleotides) under uncultured Agaricales. RNAcentral's name for it is "sequence contains ITS1". The stretch from base 1 to 105 matches the Rfam family "5.8S ribosomal RNA", at positions 50 to 154 of the family's 154-position model. The record is from RNAcentral. Lineage: Eukaryota; Fungi; Basidiomycota; Agaricomycetes; Agaricales.